Molecule: ribosomal RNA, 477 nt
Filed under: Spio sp. NIBRIV0000888161
Lineage: Eukaryota; Metazoa; Annelida; Polychaeta; Spionida; Spionidae
Description: partial large subunit ribosomal RNA
Rfam family: Bacterial large subunit ribosomal RNA
Source: RNAcentral
AAACAUCGCCUCUAGCUUAUAUUAGAGGUCUUCCCUGCCCUAUGAUUAUUUAAAUGGCCGCGGUACCUUGACCGUGCUAAGGUAGCAUAAUAAUUUGUCUCUUAAUUAGAGACUGGAAUGAAUGGAAUCACGAGAGUUAAGCUGUUUCUUUUAUACAAAUAAAAACUAACCUUUAAGUGAAGAGGCUUAAAUCACAAAAAAAGACAAAAAGACCCUAUUGAGCUUCAUCAUGCAGUAAGUCUUCUUAUCAAUGAUUUUGUUGGGGCAACAUGAGAAUAUCUAAAUCUUCUCUAUUAUUAAUAUACAGAUCCGCCAUGCGAUCAAUAAAUAAAGCUACCAUAGGGAUAACAGGCUAAUUCUUUUUGAGAGACCAAAUUGACAAAAGAGAUUGGCACCUCGAUGUUGGCUUAGGAACUCGUUUAGAUGCAGAAGUCUAAAAAAGCAGGUUUGUUCAACCUUUAAAAUCCUACGUGAUCU